This 776-nucleotide ribosomal RNA is filed under the name uncultured bacterium. RNAcentral describes it as "bacterial SSU rRNA". It matches the Rfam family "Bacterial small subunit ribosomal RNA", at positions 561 to 1335 of the family's 1533-position model. The record is from RNAcentral.
UAAAGCGUGCGUAGGCGGCUGAUUAAGUCGGAUGUGAAAUCCCUGAGCUUAACUUAGGAAUUGCAUUCGAUACUGGUCAGCUAGAGUAUGGGAGAGGAUGGUAGAAUUCCAGGUGUAGCGGUGAAAUGCGUAGAGAUCUGGAGGAAUACCGAUGGCGAAGGCAGCCAUCUGGCCUAAUACUGACGCUGAGGUACGAAAGCAUGGGGAGCAAACAGGAUUAGAUACCCUGGUAGUCCAUGCCGUAAACGAUGUCUACUAGCCGUUGGGGUCUUUGAGACUUUAGUGGCGCAGCUAACGCGAUAAGUAGACCGCCUGAGGAGUACGGUCGCAAGACUAAAACUCAAAUGAAUUGACGGGGGCCCGCACAAGCGGUGGAGCAUGUGGUUUAAUUCGAUGCAACGCGAAGAACCUGUACCUGGUUCUUGACAUAGUAGAAACUUUCCAGAGAUGGAUUGGUGCCUUCGGGAAUCUACAUACAGGUGCUGCAUGGCUGUCGUCAGCUCGUGUCGUGAGAUGUUGGGUUAAGUCCCGCAACGAGCGCAACCCUUUUCCUUAUUUGCCAGCACUUUGGGUGGGAACUUUAAGGAUACUGCCAGUGACAAACUGGAGGAAGGCGGGGACGACGUCAAGUCAUCAUGGCCCUUACGACCAGGGCUACACACGUGCUACAAUGGUUGGUACAAAGGGUUGCUACACAGCGAUGUGAUGCUAAUCUCAAAAAGCCAAUCGUAGUCCGGAUUGGAGUCUGCAACUCGACUCCAUGAAGUCGGAAUCGC